AUGUUUAGCCUAGCCCCCUUUCUUUUCAUCAGGCACCCCCUCCCCUUUUCUUUCAGGAAUAAAUGGAUGGUCCUUGAAGUACGUUCGAUCUCUAGUAAUCUUAGUUUUAGAUUUGCAUUUUCACGUUCAGCCAAUAAACUAGAAUCAUUUUAUUUUAUGUGUGAAAUAAGUAAAAUUUUGCUCAUCAAGAGUGCCUUGAAACUUUCACAUUCUGAGCCAAUAUUUAUUUAUUUGAUUUUAAGGAACUUUUUUUUUAUUAUUAUCAUUAGUAAGAAUUCUCGUUAUCCAAGAGUCUUAAAACUAUCGGCAAAAAUCCUAAAUCCUGUGGCCGGCUCCCCUCCUUCCAGUUACUUCUCUGCGCGUGAAGUUCGUAAAUAAAUGAGAAUGGAAGAGGCUAUCAGUCUCUGUAAUGUAAACAAAGUUGACUAACCCUCGAUUUGAAGGCACUUUAAGAUAUGACGUUGACGACAAUAUCCACUGAAUUCUUUCACUUUCAGUCUACUGUAAUAGGUGUAAUUCAAGUGUCCAAUUCAGAAAGGUCAUGAAUCCUGGAUCAAUUAAGAUAAAGAUAAUGUUUAUUUUUGCCUGGUUUUUUCAACACAUCUUGUGAUUUUUUUGUGUUAUUUUUGAGCUUAUUAAAGGCUCUAAUUAAGAAUGCGCUUAGCUUUGCACAAGUCUAGAGACAUGAAAACUUUUCACCCUCCGUUUCAGAGGGAGCUAGAAAAUGUGUAAAUCACGGAUUUACGGGAAGGAGAGAUAAAAGGAAUUAAGGAGGAGAAAAACGAGAACGAGGUGAACAGUGGCGUGGCGUGCUUUGCGAUGUAUCGAUUGUUAUGCCAUUUAAACCUAUAGAAAAGGAUCGAUAAACAGGGUGUCCGCAGCGAACACCUUAAUAAUCGAUUCUUUACCAUAUAUUUAAAUGGCAUAACAAUCGAUAUAUCGCAAUUCACGCCACGCCACUGGAGGUAAAGCGUAAAGUUUUCGUUUAUUUGAUGAAUGAAUAUUUGACAUAUCAUCACACUAAAUCAUAAAGAUAUUAUAUAUGUAAUACAGCCAAAUUCAAUACUGUUCUACUUGAUUCUUUACCAGUAAUUAAUUAUUACACUCGUAUGCCACAUUCUCCUUCUCACUGUAUCAUUACCUAGGUUUAUUUUUUUAUGAAUCUGCUGAUUGUGUUUUGUUUUGCCUUUUGCAAUUUUAAUUAAUUCAAUAACCCUCUCAAAGUAAUAAUUCGAUAGGAGCCAAAUUCAUAUAACUGGAACCUGCCAACGAUUUUAUUUUUUAAAACAAUGUUCAACUUGUGUUGUCGAUUUUUAAUAUACAAUUUCAGUAUUUUGUUGUUUUUUUAAAGGAAAUGGUGAUUAAAUAUUCCGCCCAUACACUCUGUUUUUAACGAAUUAUUAAUUUGAAUUUCCUGCCUACUUUAAUGAGAUUAAGUUAAGCAUUUAUGCAACUUUGCACUAUAUUUAUUUGUUCGAAUUGAUUUUCAUGUUAAGUAUUGAUUUUCCGUUUGUUUUUUGUUUAAACAAUUUUAGCAUGCCGUCCAACAAUUAACCAUUGCCUUGAUUUUGUACUUAUUUUACAGCAAUCUCAUUUGUUCAAUAAAAUUUGAAUUCAAUAAACCUUGGAUGUUGUUAUAUUUACCUAAUGCCUAGAACGCUAUACGGAAUCCACUUAGAAUCCAGGUGGAUGUCCAGUUUUGCUACGUGAAUGCUUCUACAGCCGAUCGAUACAUUGAUUAUUAAUUCCGAA
RNAcentral lists this long non-coding RNA (1752 nucleotides) under Bemisia tabaci. Its description in RNAcentral is "lncRNA ENSSSA1UGG003879". The record is from RNAcentral. Lineage: Eukaryota; Metazoa; Arthropoda; Insecta; Hemiptera; Aleyrodidae.